This 253-nucleotide ribosomal RNA is filed under the name uncultured bacterium. RNAcentral's name for it is "partial 16S ribosomal RNA". It matches the Rfam family "Bacterial small subunit ribosomal RNA", at positions 524 to 776 of the family's 1533-position model. The record is from RNAcentral.
UACAGAGGCUCCGAGCGUUAUCCGGAUUUAUUGGGCGUAAAGCGUCCGCAGGUGGAAUAGUGCGUCUGUCGUUAAAUACUAGGGCUCAACCCUAGUGCCGCGGCAGAUACGGCUAUUCUCGAGGUAGGUAGAGGUUAAGGGAACUUAUGGUGAAGCGGUGAAAUGCGUUGAUAUGAUAGGGAACACCAAUAGCGAAGGCACUUAACUGGUCCUAUCCUGACACUCAUGGACGACAGCGUGGGGAGCGAAGCGG